This 21-nucleotide microRNA is filed under the name Amphimedon queenslandica. RNAcentral's name for it is "aqu-miR-2021-5p". The record is from miRBase by way of RNAcentral. Lineage: Eukaryota; Metazoa; Porifera; Demospongiae; Haplosclerida; Niphatidae.
CAUGGAAUAUCGGCACCCAUC